UACGGAGGGUGCGAGCGUUGUCCGGAAUCACUGGGCGUAAAGGGCGCGUAGGCGGCCUGAUAAGUAGGGGGUGAAAUCCUGCGGCUUAACCGCAGGGCUGCCUUCUAAACUGUCAGGCUAGAGCACAGUAGAGGCAGGUGGAAUUCCCGGUGUAGCGGUGGAAUGCGUAGAGAUCGGGAAGAACAUCAGUGGCGAAGGCGGCUCUCUGGGACGGUACUGACGCUGAGACGCGAAAGCGUGGGGAGCGAACAGG
RNAcentral lists this ribosomal RNA (253 nucleotides) under uncultured bacterium. RNAcentral describes it as "partial 16S ribosomal RNA". It matches the Rfam family "Bacterial small subunit ribosomal RNA", at positions 524 to 776 of the family's 1533-position model. The record is from RNAcentral.